Molecule: ribosomal RNA, 450 nt
Filed under: uncultured bacterium
Lineage: Bacteria
Description: bacterial SSU rRNA
Rfam family: Bacterial small subunit ribosomal RNA
Source: RNAcentral
UGGGGAAUUUUGGACAAUGGGCGAAAGCCUGAUCCAGCCAUGCCGCGUGCGGGAAGAAGGCCUUCGGGUUGUAAACCGCUUUUAGCCGGGAAGAAAAGGCAGGGACUAAUACUCCCUGUUCUUGACGGUACCGGCGGAAUAAGCACCGGCUAACUACGUGCCAGCAGCCGCGGUAAUACGUAGGGUGCGAGCGUUAAUCGGAAUUACUGGGCGUAAAGCGUGCGCAGGCGGUUCGUUAAGUUCGUCGUGAAAGCCCCGGGCUCAACCUGGGAACUGCGAUGGAAACUGGCGGGCUUGGAGUGUGGCAGAGGGGGGUGGAAUUCCGCGUGUAGCAGUGAAAUGCGUAGAGAUGCGGAGGAACACCGAUGGCGAAGGCAGCCCCCUGGGCCAACACUGACGCUCAGGCACGAAAGCGUGGGGAGCAAACAGGAUUAGAUACCCCCGUAGUCC